GACGAACGCUGGCGGCGUGCUUAACACAUGCAAGUCGAACGGAAAGGCCCUGCUUUUGUGGGGUGCUCGAGGGGCGAACGGGUGCGUAAGACGUGAGUAACCUGCCCUUGACUUUGGGAUAACUUCAGGAAACGGGGGCUAAUACCGGAUAGGAGCUCCUGCUGCAUGGUGGGGGUUGGAAAGUUUCGGCGGUUGGGGAUGGACUCGCGGCUUAUCAGCUUGUUGGUGGGGUAGUGGCUUACCAAGGCAUUGACGGGUAGGCGGCAGGGGAGGGUGACCGGCGACAAUGCGCCUGCGGGACGGCCCAGACGGCUACGGGAGGCAGCAGUGGGGAGUAUUGCACAACGGGACGGCGCCUGAUGCGAAAGCGCCGCGGGCGGGAAGACGGCUUUCGGGUAGUGAACCGCUUUCGCCUGUGACGAAGCGUGAGUGACGGUAAUGGGUAAAGAAGCACCGGCUAACUACGUG
This 468-nucleotide ribosomal RNA is filed under the name uncultured bacterium. RNAcentral describes it as "partial 16S ribosomal RNA". It matches the Rfam family "Bacterial small subunit ribosomal RNA", at positions 28 to 507 of the family's 1533-position model. The record is from RNAcentral.